GAGCCACUUCCACUCUGCAAGCCUUCCGGCCUUGAAAACCGGUAUGGCGGGUGACCGUCAUCGUGGGUUCGAAUCCCACGCCCU
This 84-nucleotide transfer RNA is filed under the name Kribbella aluminosa. Its description in RNAcentral is "tRNA-Ser". Lineage: Bacteria; Bacillati; Actinomycetota; Actinomycetes; Propionibacteriales; Kribbellaceae. The record is from RNAcentral.